Molecule: ribosomal RNA, 394 nt
Filed under: uncultured bacterium
Lineage: Bacteria
Description: partial 16S ribosomal RNA
Rfam family: Bacterial small subunit ribosomal RNA
Source: RNAcentral
CCUACGGGUGGCAGCAGUGAGGAAUAUUGGUCAAUGGUCGCGAGACUGAACCAGCCAAGUAGCGUGAGGGAUGACUGCCCUACGGGUUGUAAACUUCUUUUGUAAGGGAAUAAAGUUGGGCACGUGUGCCUUUUUGUAUGUACUUUAUGAAUAAGGAUCGGCUAACUCCGUGCCAGCAGCCGCGGUAAUACGGAGGAUCCGAGCGUUAUCCGGAUUUAUUGGGUUUAAAGGGAGCGUAGGUGGGUUGUUAAGUCAGUUGUGAAAGUUUGGGGCUCAACCGUAAAAUUGCAGUUGAGACUGGCAGUCUUGAGUACAGGUGAGGUAGGCGGAAUUCGUGGUGUAGCGGUGAAAUGCGUAGAUAUCACGAAGAACUCCGAUUGCGAAGGCAGCUUAC